Molecule: long non-coding RNA, 1022 nt
Organism: Salmo salar (Atlantic salmon)
Lineage: Eukaryota; Metazoa; Chordata; Actinopteri; Salmoniformes; Salmonidae
Source: RefSeq, a predicted model, not a curated record
AAAAAAAUAUGGGGUGAUUGUUGUGUGAACUUAACAUAUUAAGAAUACUUUUUAAAAAAUAAAAUCCCCAAAAUUGACCCUGAGGACAUCCCGUAGUUGCAGAAUUACCCAUGUAAACUUAUGACUUCAACUGGGAAUGGAAUACUAACUGGGACAACUUCUGGGAUGAAUUUGAGAACUAUGCACUGGCGACCGGUCUACAUGGAAAAACUCAACGAGGUCCAUGCGGCAACUCUGAGGAACUUAAUGGGCUGCGAAUGCAGGCAAAUCUCACUAACAGCACGACAACGUGAUGCCAAGGCCAUACUAGAUGCAUUGAGAACUACUUAAAAUCCGCAAGGAACGUAAUUUACGAGCGGUUCGUUUUUGGAAGCUGCAAACAGAACGAGUGAGUUAGUACACAACUGUAUAACCCGUUUGAGAGAAAGAUCCGAAACUUGUGAAAGAUGAACUGAAUUGUGGCAAAACAGAACUGAGAAUUGCAAAUGAGUGCACGCGCCGGCGUCUACUAAGAGAGAGGCGUAAGGUUAGUAACUGCCAUUGAAAUGUGCCGAGAGCGAUGGAAAUGGAAAACCCACGCACACGGACACUUGAUACUUUUCAUGCUGUUGCCAGGCAAACAUUCAGACAAAACCAAUCGAGGCAGAGUAAUUCACCGCGAACUGCGGACACAGACAGACCCAUACCAUGCAAAUACGGUGGAAAUGCACACGCAAGAGGCAAAGAGCACUGCCCAGCCUAUGGUAAACCAUGCAGAGUUUAUGGAACUGAUGAACACUUUGCAAAAGUGUGUCUCAAAAGCAAAAGAAGGGCGAGUGAGGGCAAGCGUCAUCUUCCGCAUGCUGGGUCCUCCGAUGACUGUGUGAAACACUGCUGGUUUUUAUUAGAAGGGGGAAUGGGAUAGCAGUGUCUGUGGUUGUUUUAUUUGGUUAGUACUUGGUUCACUAACAUCGAAACAAGGACAGCUGUGUCUUGUUUUGUACUUGAGUUUACUAACAAUUAAACAAUGGGUUGUGUCUGCA